GUCUACAGCCAUACCACCUUGAACAAGCCCAAUCUUGUCUGAUAUAGGAAGCUAAGCAGAGUUGGGCCUGGUUAGUAUUUGGAUA
RNAcentral lists this ribosomal RNA (85 nucleotides) under Urocitellus parryii (Arctic ground squirrel). Lineage: Eukaryota; Metazoa; Chordata; Mammalia; Rodentia; Sciuridae. The record is from RNAcentral.